RNAcentral lists this transfer RNA (55 nucleotides) under Heterosigma akashiwo. RNAcentral describes it as "partial tRNA". It matches the Rfam family "tRNA", at positions 8 to 58 of the family's 71-position model. From Rfam's summary of the family: Transfer RNA (tRNA) molecules are approximately 80 nucleotides in length. Their secondary structure includes four short double-helical elements and three loops (D, anti-codon, and T loops). Further hydrogen bonds mediate the characteristic L-shaped molecular structure. tRNAs have two regions of fundamental functional importance: the anti-codon, which is responsible for specific mRNA codon recognition, and the 3' end, to which the tRNAs corresponding amino acid is attached (by aminoacyl-tRNA synthetases). tRNAs cope with the degeneracy of the genetic code in two manners: having more than one tRNA (with a specific anti-codon) for a particular amino acid; and 'wobble' base-pairing, i.e. permitting non-standard base-pairing at the 3rd anti-codon position. Lineage: Eukaryota; Raphidophyceae; Chattonellales; Chattonellaceae. The record is from RNAcentral.
AAUUAACUCAAUGGUAGAGUUUUUCGCUUACAACGAAAGGGUUAAAGGUUCGAAU